Molecule: ribosomal RNA, 510 nt
Filed under: uncultured bacterium
Lineage: Bacteria
Description: bacterial SSU rRNA
Rfam family: Bacterial small subunit ribosomal RNA
Source: RNAcentral
GAUGAACGCUGGCGGCGUGCUUAACACAUGCAAGUCGAACGAAGCACUUUUUUUAGAAGGAGAUAGCUUGCUAUAUCUGGAUAUGUAAAGUGACUGAGUGGCGGACGGGUGAGUAACGCGUGGGUAACCUGCCUCAUACAGGGGGAUAACAGUUAGAAAUGACUGCUAAUACCGCAUAAGCAUACAGGAUCGCAUGAUCUAGUAUGAAAAACUCCGGUGGUAUGAGAUGGACCCGCGUCUGAUUAGCUAGUUGGUAAGGUAACGGCUUACCAAGGCGACGAUCAGUAGCCGGCCUGAGAGGGUGAACGGCCACAUUGGGACUGAGACACGGCCCAAACUCCUACGGGAGGCAGCAGUGGGGAAUAUUGCACAAUGGGGGAAACCCUGAUGCAGCGACGCCGCGUGAAGGAAGAAGUAUUUCGGUAUGUAAACUUCUAUCAGCAGGGAAGAAAAUGACGGUACCUGACUAAGAAGCCCCGGCUAACUACGUGCCAGCAGCCGCGGUAAAAC